AUCUGCAUUUUUCUGAGAUGGCAUCAAGAGGCUGCAAGCAUCCGGCAGACACAGUUUGCUGUGUCUGCGGCCAAUUUAUCAAGACAAGAGCGAAAAAGUACUCUGUGGAAGCAUCUGCUAAGAUGUGUGAGGUCUACAAGGCAUAUUUCGGCAUGCCUGUUCGGGGAUCAAGACACACCUGCGAGCAAUGAAAAAAAACUCUGGAAGGAUGGUACAGAGGGGAAAAGAGAGCCAUGAAGUUCGCUAUCCCAAGAAUUUGGUGGGAACUCACUGACCACUCAAGCAACUGCUACUUCUGCAUGGUGGACCCUUAUAAACGUCGGACUGCAGGUACACCAGGGCGCACUACCACAGGCGGGACUGGCCACAGCGGACCGAGUUCUCUGUGGGGAGGAACAACGUCAAGUGGGAGCCGCUGGUGGACCCCCGGAAGGUGCUGAUGCCACCACUGAACAUCAAAUUGGGCCUUAUGAAACAAUUUGUCAGAGCUGUAAAUAAGGAGUCGGCAGCCUCCAAGUACUUGUAGAUUUGAAGCUUUCGUGACUGCAAGGAUUCAUAAUCUUAGUUUUUUCGGUAAAGUCACGUAGGUAAAAAAAUGACUUCUUCCCUAAGCUGUCUGAGGCAAAGGUCAAAGCCGGUGUCUUCGUCGGACCACAGAAAAAGAAGAUCCUGGAGUGCAAUUAAUUCCACAAGAAGUUCACUAGUAAGGAGAAAGCGGCUUGGGACAGCUUUGUCGCAGUGGUUCGUGGAUUCCUGGACAAUUACAAGGUCGAAAACUAAGUGGAGUUGGUUGAGACUCUGGUGAAGAACUAUGGCACAAUGGGCUGUAGGAUGUCCCUCAAAGUCCAUAUCCUUGAUGCUCAUCUUGAUAAAGGAGAACAUGUGAGCGUACUCGGAGGAACAAGGCGAGUGCUUCCACCAGGAUAUACUGGACUUUGAACACCGCUACCAAGGACAGUUUAACGAGACCAUGAUGGAAGACUACAUUUGGGGGCUGAAUCGUGAAAGUGAUUUACAGUAUAAUCGUGAAUCUCGAAAAACUACUCAAUUUUAAAUAUUUUGUAGUAAUUUUUGCAUUACUUUAGUAUAAAUACUUGUUAAUUUUGAUUGAUAUGUUGUUUUUUCUGACUUUAUUUGAAGGAAAAGACACAAAUUCGGCCAUUUUCUCAUUGAAAAUAGAUACAUUUCAAAAUAUCACUGUCCUGGUCACAAAAGCAAAGUUUGUGGGGAAUAAUAGCCAUUUUCUAUACUUUUUAAGCAUAAGCAAUUACGAAAUAACACUUACUACCCAGAAACAAAAUUGUGUUACACAGUGUUAUCUGCAAUGUUUUUUUUACGUGCAGAUAAGAAGAGUAAAAUCGUCCAUAACCCUGCGAAUAAUAGGAUAUGUGUGUCCUGCAUAUCACUGUGGGACAAGAGGAGUAAUUUUUCUCUUCUUGGUUCUUUCGGUAAAGUCACGUAGAAGGGAAGUAAUAAAAUAAUAAAAAUAAAACAUAAUAAAACAAUUCUCACGACGUUUCGGCCACAACGCAAGCAGCCGUCCUCAGGUGAAAACCAGGUCCGUCGAGGCGACAGAGUCUGAAUGAAACAGCACACGAGCUUGGAGCAUAUAUAUAAGCUGGGCGCAUUGACAAAGGAAUUACUUCCCUUCUACGUGACUUUACCGAAAGAACCAAGAAGAUGAAUCCCUGCAGUCACGAAAGCUUUAAGAGGAGUAAUUCUCUCAAAUAAUUUUCAUGGCCAAUAUUCUUUUAAUAUACGACGUAUAAUUAAAAAGCAUGCAAAAAUGUGAUUUAAAAAAAGGAAAAUCUGAAUGUGAGGCUAAUUAUUAUUUGCAGGUGCUUUAUACAAUGACAAGCAUAUCAUUGGUUCAGUAAUUGGUGGGUAGUAUAGAGUGUAAUUAUUAUGAUUAUAUCAAAGAAGCCUAAGUCUCAUUAAUAUUUUCUCUUAUAUUUAUGUAAUAAUAUUGACUGGAUAAUCAAGUUGUAUUGUGUGCAUUUGGAAUAUGUUCUUGAGCAUUUUGAUUACGUAUAUCGACAUUUUGAUUUUCAUUUUAAUCAAUUUGGACCAUUUUGAAAGCGUAAUUCUGUAUUAUCCAUGUUAUCUGUACCACAAAUAUCUGUCCUUUACCACUAAUGCUUGGAUAUCUUCUACACAAUGUAUGUCUCUCACAUGUGUCUAUAUGAGCGCUCCAAUUCCGAUUUAUUCUCGCUGUACAGUUAAUGGAUUUGAACUGGCUCCAUACUCCAUCAGUUGGGGCUUGCCAUCCAAGCUAAUAAAUGAUUCUUGACAGCACAUUUAAACAAAAUGUCCAGAGCCUACCAUGCUAUGUGCACACACUGCCUAGAAAAACAUAGCAAAGUAGUGCAUCUUCAACACCCAAGAAAAUUGAUAUUCAGUUUGUAUGGUGAAUAGAGAAAAGAGAGAACAUGAAACAGAAGUUGUGGUCUCAGAACGAGGAGGUGAUCCUUCAACGCUGGACAGAGCAAGAUUUCUGAUAAGUGUUAAUUGCAUUUUUAAACAAGAAGCAAAAGAUAAUUUUCUCAGCAGACACGUAUUUGAUUUGCAUAUAGGUAUGAACACGUAUAUUACAGCUUAAUAUGGCCCUGCCGUUUUAAGGAAUAUCCUAGCAGUAAGCAUUCUCGUUUUUAAAUCCUUUAUAUUAAGUUCGCUUGCUUGCUUGCUUGCGUGCUUGCUUGC
This is a long non-coding RNA of Lethenteron reissneri (Far Eastern brook lamprey), 2700 nucleotides long. RefSeq lists it as uncharacterized. The record is from RefSeq and is a predicted model, not a curated record. NCBI's taxonomy places the organism in Eukaryota, Metazoa, Chordata, Hyperoartia, Petromyzontiformes, Petromyzontidae.